AUCCUUUUACACUCCGAUGUCUCCACUGAGGCACUAUCAACAAUCACCAUUGUAAAAUUAAGAUAUUUUACAUCUUAUUAAUUAAUAACAACAUUAUUUUAAGAAUUUAAAAAUUGUAUAAUAAUACUAUAGUGUGUAUUUUAAAUGAUAUACGGCUGAUAUAACAGCUUCACUCGGAGUGUGAAGGAUUAAAAAUAUUAGAUAAACAUCGAUGCAUAACUGAUAAUUAUAUAUUUUGCCUUUCAGGGAUUCAUUGUUUCCCUAAUCUUCUGUUAUAUGAACGGUGAAAUUCUGAGCCUGUUGGGUCGGUCUGUAAGCACCUACAGAGCUAAGCGAGAAAUAUCUCCUGCAUGCAGCAAGCGUCGUUCCACCUGCAUGGUCUCCCUUGCAUCUCUAAGGGUCCGUCGCCUAUCCCAUGACCUAUAAGAAAAAAGUUUUGUACUUGUUGAAACGCUCUUACAAGCGGUACAAACUGAGUAGUAGCCUCCAUGGACGAGGCCAAUCCAGCAUGAUGAUGCAUCCGGUCUCCUGUACACAAAUGACGUCAUUGAACGAGAGUCAGGCCGCCGUACCCAAGCGUGGUUUGCAUUGGCGAAACAGCAGAAACGGCGAAAGACCGAGAGAGGCCACUGCUUCUGAGAGCCUCGAAGAUGACAUUGUAUCUGUGUAAAACCCCUGCAUUUAAAGAUCAAUCUUCGAAUAUUGAAAUAAGAAUUCACAUGUCAACAUUUGUAAAUAUUUCUGUAGAACAAUAGAAAAAAAACAAUCGAAGCACUUUUGUAUCAAAUUUUAUCGUCAACAAUGUGUAUCACUAUGAGGUAAUAUCUAAUCGAAUAAAAAUUAUU
Non-coding RNA from Parasteatoda tepidariorum (common house spider), 845 nucleotides. The record is from RefSeq and is a predicted model, not a curated record. NCBI's taxonomy places the organism in Eukaryota, Metazoa, Arthropoda, Arachnida, Araneae, Theridiidae.